Homo sapiens (human) is the source of this 148-nucleotide non-coding RNA. It matches the Rfam family "Metazoan signal recognition particle RNA". Rfam says of the family: The signal recognition particle (SRP) is a universally conserved ribonucleoprotein. It is involved in the co-translational targeting of proteins to membranes. The record is from Rfam. Lineage: Eukaryota; Metazoa; Chordata; Mammalia; Primates; Hominidae.
GCUGGGUGUGGUGGUGCGUGCCUGUAGUCCCAGCUACUUCGGAGGCUGAGGCAGGGCAAUCGUUUGAACCCAGGGGGCGGAGGUUGCAGUGAGCCGGGUUCGUGCCACUGCACUCCAGCCUGGGUGACAAAGCGAGACCCAGUCUCAA